GAUGAACGCUGGCGGCGUGCCUAAUACAUGCAAGUCGAGCGAACGGACGAGAAGCUUGCUUCUCUGAUGUUAGCGGCGGACGGGUGAGUAACACGUGGAUAACCUACCUAUAAGGCUGGGAUAACUUCGGGAAACCGGAGCUAAUACCGGAUAAUAUUUUGAACCGCAUGGUUCAAAAGUGAAAGACGGUCUUGCUGUCACUUAUAGAUGGAUCCGCGCUGCAUUAGCUAGUUGGUAAGGUAACGGCUUACCAAGGCAACGAUGCAUAGCCGACCUGAGAGGGUGAUCGGCCACACUGGAACUGAGACACGGUCCAGACUCCUACGGGAGGCAGCAGUAGGGAAUCUUCCGCAAUGGGCGAAAGCCUGACGGAGCAACGCCGCGUGAGUGAUGAAGGUCUUCGGAUCGUAAAACUCUGUUAUUAGGGAAGAACAUAUGUGUAAGUAACUGUGCACAUCUUGACGGUACCUAAUCAGAAAGCCACGGCUAACUACGUGCCAGCAGCCGCGGUAAUACGUAGGUGGCAAGCGUUAUCCGGAAUUAUUGGGCGUAAAGCGCGCGUAGGCGGUUUUUUAGUCUGAUGUGAAAGCCCACGGCUCAACCGUGGAGGGUCAUUGGAAACUGGAAAACUUGAGUGCAGAAGAGGAAAGUGGAAUUCCAUGUGUAGCGGUGAAAUGCGCAGAGAUAUGGAGGAACACCAGUGGCGAAGGCGACUUUCUGGUCUGUAACUGACGCUGAUGUGCGAAAGCGUGGGGAUCAAACAGGAUUAGAUACCCUGGUAGUCCACGCCGUAAACGAUGAGUGCUAAGUGUUAGGGGGUUUCCGCCCCUUAGUGCUGCAGCUAACGCAUUAAGCACUCCGCCUGGGGAGUACGACCGCAAGGUUGAAACUCAAAGGAAUUGACGGGGACCCGCACAAGCGGUGGAGCAUGUGGUUUAAUUCGAAGCAACGCGAAGAACCUUACCAAAUCUUGACAUCCUUUGACAACUCUAGAGAUAGACCCUUCCCCUUCGGGGGACAAAGUGACAGGUGGUGCAUGGUUGUCGUCAGCUCGUGUCGUGAGAUGUUGGGUUAAGUCCCGCAACGAGCGCAACCCUUAAGCUUAGUUGCCAUCAUUAAGUUGGGCACUCUAAGUUGACUGCCGGUGACAAACCGGAGGAAGGUGGGGAUGACGUCAAAUCAUCAUGCCCCUUAUGAUUUGGGCUACACACGUGCUACAAUGGACAAUACAAAGGGCAGCGAAACCGCGAGGUCAAGCAAAUCCCAUAAAGUUGUUCUCAGUUCGGAUUGUAGUCUGCAACUCGACUACAUGAAGCUGGAAUCGCUAGUAAUCGUAGAUCAGCAUGCUACGGUGAAUACGUUCCCGGGUCU
This 1371-nucleotide ribosomal RNA is filed under the name uncultured bacterium. RNAcentral describes it as "bacterial SSU rRNA". It matches the Rfam family "Bacterial small subunit ribosomal RNA", at positions 28 to 1381 of the family's 1533-position model. The record is from RNAcentral.